CAGUCGCCGCGGUAAUACAGAGGGUGCGAGCGUUAAUCGGAUUUACUGGGCGUAAAGCGUGCGUAGGCGGCUUCUUAAGUCGGAUGUGAAAUCCCUGAGCUUAACUUAGGAAUUGCAUACGAUACUGGGAAGCUAGAGUAUGGGAGAGGAUGGUAGAAUUCCAGGUGUAGCGGUGAAAUGCGUAGAGAUCUGGAGGAAUACCGAUGGCGAAGGCAGCCAUCUGGCCUAAUACUGACGCUGAGGUACGAAAGCAUGGGGAGCAAACAGGAUUAGAUACCCCAGUAGUCCCUGUCUCUUAUAC
Molecule: ribosomal RNA, 301 nt
Filed under: uncultured bacterium
Lineage: Bacteria
Description: partial 16S ribosomal RNA
Rfam family: Bacterial small subunit ribosomal RNA
Source: RNAcentral